GCAGGGGCAUUGGAACUGGAUGGUCUUUAAGGUACCUUCCAACUCAAACCAUUCUAUGAUUCUACUGACCUAAUCAUGAUUUCUAAGGAUCUAACAUUUCCUAUGUAUUUUUUAACACUGCAAGAGAUGAACAAGUACUUGGUUAAUAUCAGGAGUCCAAGACCUUGGAAACACAUUGCAAAACUAGAAAAUCAGGAGUAAACUGGGAAUUGAGUAAAAUAAUUCUGCCUGAAACAGUAGUAAACAUAUGGAAUAAUUGGCCAGCGAAGCGAGUAAUCUAAAUGAGUUUAAGAGACAUCUGGACAUUUUUAUCUCAGGAGAGAAAGGACUGAAGGAUAUAGUGAUAAAACUGGGAGGUGAGGAUGAAAUACACUGAAAGAGAAAAGGCUUGCUGAACCAAAUUGCCUUUCUCUAGUCAGCAGUUUCUUAUGUUUAUAAAUGUAAUAUAAAAAGCUGCUGUAUGAAUACACUAUUUCUACAUAGUGUCACCAUGUCUAAAGAGGAAACAUUUUGUUUCAGAAGAUGGAUUUAGCUGAUGCAGCCUCCACUGUCAGUAAUAGAACUUCUGGAUCCACCCACUAAACACAAGCUCAGCUGCCCCCACUAUCUCUCCAAAAAGUGAAUUAUUUAUACUGUAGUUCAACUUGCAAAUUACUUAAUGUAGUAGUACCUCACAAUCGGUUUCUUGGCAAAUCAGUGGCUAGUGAAAGUGUAAAGUAAAGCCAUGGAUUUGUAGUUCAGUUAGCCUUAAGGGAAAAUUUCCUUUAUUACUGCUUGCCUCCCAACCAUGAAAUUUUGGAUUAGCCAGGGUGGAAACAUUAUCAAUACAGGUAUUAACAAAUAAAGCCAAAUUUAUUCGAAGUAGUGUAUCUAGCUAGUCCUGUCUCUAGCUAGAUCUAAUUUAGGUAAUAAUUUUCUUCACAAGCAUCACAGUCACACCAUCAUUUCUUGCAGAAAAUUGAAAUUAAAAAAAAAAAAAAAAGAGUGAGAGAGAAGCAUAAAAUAUAGAAAAUGGAAACAGCAUUAAAUUUUCAAUACUAACUUUUGUAUCCAUGCUCAAAGUUCAAUUUCAAUACAAGUCCUAUAUGUGGUUACUUAACUUCCCAACAGCUUCACAAAUCAGACAUUUGGAUGUGUAAUUGGCAAGGUUUAUGACUGUAAUUAAUUGUGGUUUUAACUGAUGGCAGAUGCAAAAUUGCACCUCUAGGAAAGGAGGCCAGGUUGAGGCCCUUUUAAAAAUCAUGUUCUUCAGGUUGAACCAGAAAGAUUGUAUGGUAAGUUGAAUGAAUUUCAAAAAGACUUGAUUUUCCACUUACUUGCAAUUUUGCUUUUGCUGGUGAAACAUCACUGGCUUUAGCACAGUUUUCCUGAUUAGUACUGGUGCAAGUUAAAAAAAAAAAAAAAAAAAAAAAAAAAAAAAGUCUAUGUCUGGAAUUAGGGGUGUGGGAGGAAGCUGGAUGUAUCAGUGCUGAGUAUGCAGCUGUACCACUUAUGUUUGGAAAGAGAGGCAGUAUUGCCAGCUUCCUCUGUUUAGAAGUGUUGGAACAGAUUGGUGAAAUGCCCAUUCUGACACUAAAAUUACAAUUUUGAUAAUACCAUAACCACUCUGCUUCUGUCCCCUGCUGUGUCAGAUGAGCAUUUCUGGAAAGAGUAACCCUUGCCCAAAGUCAUGCUGUUUCCAGAAAUUUAGAUGUGCUCUGACACUGUGCAAAAAUUCUUAAAAGAAAAGAAGCAGGGAGGAAAGGGGAAAGGAGAGGACUGCCAACUCUGAGGAGAGAUUUAAUAGAAACCCCUUAAGUUCAUUUGUACUAGCUCCUUUGCACCUCAUCAUUUUACUGUGUGAAGGGAGACUGAAAUAAGGAUCUCCACUACAUUACCAUGAGAUACAUAUUUCUUUGAAGUGUUGUCAUAUAUGAUUCCUAUUCCCAAUUGCAUUUAAUGAAGAACAAUAAAGCAAUGUAACAAGUUUGUGUAAUUCAAAUAAGCUUGCACAAAAAUAGUCAGGUAGCCAUAUUAAUUAGUGGGGGAGAAAUGUGGUCAUCCCCAGCAUAUGUACUACAACUCCAAUACAGAAAUCACAGAUUACUGAAUUGUCCCAUUUGGAUGUACAAUGAAGCUUUCCAUUGCUCUUGAUAAUUGGGACUUUCAUUAUUCUUUUCCCACCCGCCAGGAGAAAGGAUAAUAAAUUCCACUGUCUACAAAUCAUGUACUGGGCACAGGUCCCUCUUUCAGCACUUCAACAUGGAAUUAUUUGUAAUAGAGACCAUAUUUGCACAGUUCUCUUCUGCUUGGCAGGUUUAUCCUUUACAUGCAACCGAACCUACAGAAAUUAUUUUGUACUUGGGAAGCAUAGAUUUUAGCACACUAUAUUUUCCAUUAGAUUUCAGGCAUUGGAAAUAUCUUCUACCCUCCCCCACCAUUAAUUUUCUUUUCUGCACUUUGAUUCAUCUUAAAAGGUAGCCUUUCUCUUGGGCUAGCACUGCAGGCAAUGACUCACCAGAGACUUGUUCCCUAGUGACAGCAAUAAGCCUCCCUGGACUCACUUAAGAAGAUGUUUGCCAAGCCUUUACUGCUCAUCCAAAAUGCACGGGGUGGAAAAGAAACUGUCUGAAAUUGCUAAUAUUUUACUCUUUAUAUCUGAAGGUUCAUUUGUCUUAGCCAGGAUGGUGCCAAACUGCAGGGUAAAGAACAGGGUAAGGAAUUCCAGUCCCAGGGCUGCAUUGCUGCUUCACAGUUCUGGGGGAGUUUUCUCAUGGAGAUUUCCAGGGAAGGCCCAGACAAAGCAGUGCCUGGAAGAUGGGUAUUUGUGUUUGUGACAGACUAGAUUCUUCACUGAGGAAUUUCCAAAAAAAAGUUAAGCCUUUUUAACUUCUCCCAAUAUGAUACAAUCUAACAGCUCUCCUUGGCUUAUCCUUGAGAUUCAGAACAUGUAAGAUUCAGGCACUGCUCUCUGAGUUAAUUCCUCUCCCAUACAGUUUUCCCCUUUGCAGGAGAAAAGGUCUCACAAUACUUACCUAGCACCCCACAAAGGAGUGGAAUCUUAUUGGUAAUACAAAUAGUUCACAGUUCAUAAAUGCAUAGACAAUGUAAGUUUCUGAGAUUUAUUUUAAUUAUAUUUUCUGCAGGUUCACACGGUUUGGAGAACUUUGGAAAUAGAAAAAUGUCAGAAUGAGAGAAUUUGCAUGGCAGGAGGGGAUUUCCUAAUCACAGUUCCAGUUCUGUUGCAGGAGAUCUCAUAGAUUACCAGUGAAGAGAGAAAUAUAUCUUCUUUUCAGUGUGAACAAUUCCAGAUUUCCUCCUUUGCAAUGAAAAUACAGAAAACUAUUAACAGAGAACAUAGGGAAAGCACUGAUUUAAAAUUUCUGUUUAAGAACACUUUUGCUGUGCUUGCUUCAAGUUUCAUUUCCUGGUUCAUUGUUUUAUUGUGAUUGUAGCAGAAAACAUAUUCUGUUCUUUGUAUGUGACUCAUAAUCAUUGUUGCUGACUAUUCAUUUAGUUCAGACUUGCUGCUGUGUCCCAGCCCUUGUCCAAGAUCGGCAUUGUUCUAGCAUUUGGUUGGAAACGCAAGCUGGUUUUAUUUCUCUUUUUAUACCUUGCAAGGUAAACAUGGGAGAGAUAGUACAUUUUCCAUGUGUUUCCAGACAUAUCUUAUCUUUGAUAUUAGUCACUCUAAACUGAUGUUUCAGCCUGUUUAAAGUUGACCUCUUGAGUUGUGAACUUCCUUGAAAAGCACUGAUAAGCAAAAAAUUUUAACAGUGAUUAGUGAGGGAGUGGUGAGGCAGCAUUAGCCUUUUACUUCAGGAAGGCAGAAUCCAAAUUUGGUGGAAAUUCCCAGGUGAAAAAUAAAAUGUGAAAAUCAGCAUGGCAGCUUCAGUUUGGUACUUGUAAAAGGAAAUGGCAUAUGUUUCAGAAAGAGCAUAGACUGUAGGUGCUUGCCAAAAGAUUCAGUUGCUCUCUGGAGUCAGGAAAGGGAGGUGUGUGCCUGAAGAGCAACAUUAGUGACCAUGUCGCUUUCCAGCUUCAAAUUCUCAAAUCUCUCCAGCUUUCCAUUCUCAAAUCCCAGAUUAAACAGGUGGGAUUUUUGCUGUGAAGGACCAAACCCUGCCACAGUCCAACCUUCCCCUCUUAGUAUGCACUAAUUUGACCAUGCAGGGUCAAUUAUUUCACAAUUCUGUUUCAUUUUUGCCCAGGAGGUUGUAAAUAAUGGAAACACAUGGUUAGGGGUAGAGUGAAGAAAUCUCUUCUUAAUGAGCAGUUUAUUCAGUCAGGGUUAGGCUUUUUCCUUUUCAUGAAUUUGUUGAUUACUUGGUGAGUGUUUCAUGUAAAUAAAUCUUAGCCUGGGACUGCUUGCAAAAUCAGUUCCCUGCAUGCAUUCAUUAUUCACUUUUUCCAUUUUUUCAUUGGUCACCUAACCCACAUGGUCUGAUUUCUAAUUGUCUACAUGAAAGUAGCUGUACAAAAAAUUUUGCUAACAAAAGGAAGGAUGUUAGCAAGUUUUCAUACUCUAGUGGACAGUGUGGGAACAAUUGACUGAAUUAGGAAGAGGCAAGUUGGCAAAAACAGGGAGAUUUUUUUUUUUUUUCCCCAGCUCUCUUGAAUCAGGUCUUUCCCUAAAAUAUCACUGUUAGAAUACAUAGUAGAAAAAUCUGGCAUGGGCCAAGAUGAGAUUGCAAAAAUUCCAUUAUAUUUGGGGAACAGUAACUCCAUAUGUACUUUUUUUUUUUUUUUUUUAAUUAAGGAAAGGCAGAACAUUCAGGCAUCAGUGGAAUACCUAGAUCUAGCACGAGUCUAUAAAAGAACAGGAGGGGAUGGGUCCUAUGCUCAAAGAGCAAGUCUGAAAGUUGAAGAAGACUUCCUUGUGUUUUGGUUACAAUUACGCCAGAGGUCUCUGUGAAGUUUGAGCACCAAGCACCACAAUGAUAUUCAUACCUGUCCCUUUAGGAGCUCAGCCCUCCAAUUGCAAAGCCAACAUGGCUGUGAUUCAGCAGUGCCUUUUAUUUUUUAUCUUAUUUUACAGUUUUCUAUUGUCUAUGACAGAUCAUCAGUGUUAUUUUCACAUACACCAAGUAACUAUGUUAUAGGGAUAUUUGCUUAUUCUUCUCUUGGAUGGUUGCACUUAGAGACUCCUUAAGCCUCCACUCGUGGCUGUGUGGGGAAAGGCCAGUACAGGAAACUUGAUCUUGCUGCUUUCUGAAACAGUCCUCUAUUUGUACUUGCCUUCAUACAUUAUCAGCAUGUUAACAAGCACGACAGCCGUGUAAUAAGAUAGGGAGUUACAAGAAUAUGUGCUCCUGCCAGUCCUGAUCCAGCAGGGAAGUCCUGAGAUGAGCGCUUCUAGUAAAGCUACUGCCUGCUCUGCCUCUUCUGCUGCUGCUGGGGCAUGGUGCUUGGUACAAAGGUACAAGUCUGUCAGCACAAAUGGUCAAGGUAAAGCAGCAAGCCAUUAGAAAUGAUUCCACCCACUCACUGCGUCCCCCAAAAAACAUGAAUUUGUUAUAAGUGGAUAGGCUUGGAAUUAAUUUAGCCACAAACAUUCAUGCAAGCAAAAAUCAUUUGUGCAAAUGCUCAUGAGAAAAAUGAAUGGGACAGGGUUCAAAAUAAUAAACUCUGAUCAGUCUCUGAUCAGUCUCACCUUCCUCCAAGAAACACACAGCACUCCUUCAUCCAUCCUUAGUUAGUAGAACAAAACAAACAUUAUUCUAUUUAUUAGAGGAGGGAUAGUUAAGGAGGUAUGGGUUUGAUUAACAUUUUCUAUUUUAUAAAUGUUUAUUAUUACCUUAUAAUGUUUAUAGUCGUGCUUUAAUUAAAAUUUCUUUACAAUGUACAGAGGUGAAAAAGACAAUGCAAAUGCUAGCUUUUUCAACCUGGAAAACCAUUGUACAUUAAACAAAAUAACUGAUUUGUAUUGAUUUCUACACAUGUGAUGGUGAGGUAUUUAGAUCCCAUUCCUGCAGGGUAUUCAUGCAUUCCCUUACAGUUAAGAAGCAGUUAGCAGGAUGAACCCCAGACCAUUUUGGAUUUGGGUCCUCUUUAGGUGCACAAAGGAAUUCAGAAAAAUAAAGAAAGUCAGUUGAAAAUUCCUGAUCAAAAGUCAUCAAUAACUCUGCUCAUUGACCUUGCUGUCACUAAUAAGACUAUCAGAGACUGGCUGCAUCACAAAAAUAAUCAUGGUCUAAUGUGAUGCUGACCCUGUUGUGUCUUUUACAUUUUGGCAUGAAAAAGAAAUAACAGAAUCUCUCCACAGGCUAUACAUGUAUAAUAAAUACUGAUUGGUUAUACUGCUAAUUUUAUGUGAUAAAGAUAUUAAAAUAGUGUCAAUAAACCAGAAACAAGUGAUGUGUAAAAUAAUUAACACUAAAGGGAAUAUAAUAAAUUACUUAUUAAAAUCCAUAGAUGGAUUAUAUGACCCUGUGAUUACAGAGACUAUGGAACACAUGACUUGGUAUACAUCUUCUGAUCCAAACACCUCAUUGCACUCUGUCAGAUUACUGGCUCCUGACAUUAAAUAAAAUUCAGGUAUGAUUUAUGGGGUGGCCUUUUGACAGGAGCUAGAAUCAGAAAUGGUUUAGGCUUUGCCAGUGUUCAGCAAUGUUUUCAUUACCUACUGAUAUAAUGCAAGUAUUACAUUUAGUCAACCGAAUUACGUGUAGUUCUCUGAGAUUCUCUCUCACUCCCUGUAGUCAUUGUUCCACUCAUAAUAAAAUUAUCCUAUCAAUUUGCCACAAGAGGAAGACUGGAGUUCACUAAAUUACAGCCAUGUGUGUUUGUGCUCUAGACAAAGUGAUACCAAUUAAAAAUAAUAAUAAUAAUAAUAACCACCACCACCAAGUAGAUUCUAUUUUUAAAUUGUUCAUGGAUAACAGUGAGAUUGUCUCACAGAGGAGGCCACCCCUGAAUUCCAAACACUGGAAAUUUCAUUUUCCUUAAUUAGUAAAACAGCAUCUAUCUAGAAAAAAAAAAAAAAAAGAAAGGAAAAAAAAAAAAGAAUAAAACAACAAGCAAGAUGCUAAAUAAUGUCAGAAACGACACCUGGCCUCCCCUGUGACUGAUUAGUUUGAUAGCAAAUAGAGAUUUGGUGUGUGAGGUGGAAGCAUCAUUUUGCACUCCUUUCCUCCCCUCCCUGUAUAUAUAUAUUUAAGACAGCCUGAAAAAGGUGUUUUUAUACACAGACAGCAAAACACCCCAGUUCUGACAGCUGAAGCAAAACCAUCUCAGUGGUUUAGCAGUACUGCCACACAGAAGACCUGAGUUUGGGAGUGGCCUGGGGGCACUCUCUUUAUGAGCCUUUGAUGCUCUGAUGUGUCACAGAGGUGAUACGCUUUGACUCCUUAGACUCCAGGCAGCAGAGCUUGCUGACGGCUCCUGCCUCUGUAAGCACCUCCUGAUGGCUGAAUUAUGACAAAGCACUCGCAUGGUGUGGUAGGAGAUUGCUUAGCCCUGGCCAGGCUGGGGAAUGAAUAAAGUUAAUAGCUGUUUCAUGUACUAUGUACUGGUACACAAACUGCUCCCCAAAUUAACCUGGCUCUGUAUCAGAAGAACAAUUUACAGAGAUUCAGCAGCAACAUCUUGGCUUUGUGCAAUGUGUAAUGCAGAAUGACUUCCUGGGGCCAUCUCCAAACUUUCUGCUUACAACCUGUGAUUAUUCCUUUUCAUCCUAGUGAAUUACUACUUUUUUAUUUUUUAACAGCUCCUAGCUCUUGUGACUUUUGUAUUAAUAAGCGUUCAGCUGAGGACCAGAAAUUACUACCUUAUAGUUAAACCUGGAGACAUGACACCCAUGUAAUCUGCAACUUCUGAGGCAUCAGAAUACUUCAGGUGUGCUGACUUACAAGCAGGUCUCCCCCUUCUAAUUUCUCUCUAUUGAUAUUCCUUUUUUCUUCUAUUUUGCUAUUGUCUUUGUAUUGCUAUUUGAUGUGAUGCUGGAACUCUGUGCUGUUUGUACACUUCUCAUCAAGUGGUCCAAUGUGAAGGUAGCCAUGGAUCUCCACAAAUCUGUCUUACCUUGGCACUGUCAGGGUAUUCUGAAUGAUAUUUUGUGUUAGAGUUAGUUCUUUUAGUACUGUCGUAAUUCUUUUCAGAUACUGUAUAUUAACUCUGCGUGGUUGCUUCUUUGCUGUUGCUUUAUGUGUUGACGUUAUUGCUGGGCUCAGAGCUGCUCACCUACAGCUGUAGGUCCAUGGCUUUGCUAUGAAGUGCUUCCUGCUCAGCCGAUGUUUCACUUAAAUAAUCUGUUGCCCAUCUAUUGCCCUUCUUCUGGAUGGCUGCAGGCUAAUCCUCAUGGAAAUGAUCCUAAUUUAUCUGUCUGUGCUGGACUCACAUUUAGCUCCAGGGACAGUUUACUGCAGUGGUCCAAUACUGCAAAGUGGGGAUUAGUUCUUACCUUUUUUGCUUUUGCCAUUUGUCUUCUGUCUGUCUCUGAAAACUGCUGACAUGGGGGAGAUCAUGCCUUUCUGUUUACUCUUUGCUUAUGAGAAGACAUUCCCAGACUGACACAAUAUUAUUAAAAUUUAGCUGCUGUACAUUAAGCUCCACAUACUAGCCCAUGUAAUACCUUGCAAAAUGUGACUUAAGUUUUUGGUUUGUUGUUCUUGGUUUUCUAUUCCACAUACAUGCAAUCUAGCAUUAAGCAGUUAAGUGAGCACUUAAAUUAGGUGCUUAGCUGCCUUUUUAAUCAGCAUGGAUAGAGAGGGGCACUUUCAUAGUACAAUUCAGAUCACAGGUUAAUUUACCACGUUGAAGUAUUUAUUUUUCUUUGCUGCUGGUGAGAGUGACUCUCCAAGCUUUGCAGGAUGAACUAGGGCUCAAGUCUGCUAGCCCCAAAUGAGAGUAACAAUUCACUGUCAUUUUUAAAAGUUCAGUCCAAACCAAGUUUUGGAUUUCAUGAGGCUCUAGUAUCCUUUGUCAUUAGCUAUACUUAAAGCACCCCAUACACCCUAGCACAUCCAUCACUUGUCUUGUAAACCUGAUGUUUGGUUUGAUUUCUCAUCUUUUCUCUCGUAUUUAUCCCCCAAGUGCUCUAUGCAAACUCAUUUAAAUAUGGAAUGACAUCAUACCAGCAGCAUGCUACCAGUCACUUACUGAGGCUUAGCUGAUGAAUGAUCUCAUAUUGAGCUACAGUUACACAUUUGC
This is a long non-coding RNA of Oxyura jamaicensis (ruddy duck), 9129 nucleotides long. RefSeq lists it as uncharacterized. The record is from RefSeq and is a predicted model, not a curated record. The transcript has 3 exons. Lineage: Eukaryota; Metazoa; Chordata; Aves; Anseriformes; Anatidae.